Molecule: long non-coding RNA, 488 nt
Organism: Vigna unguiculata (cowpea)
Lineage: Eukaryota; Viridiplantae; Streptophyta; Magnoliopsida; Fabales; Fabaceae
Source: RefSeq, a predicted model, not a curated record
GGAUUCGAAUCUAAUCUACCUUAGUCUCAUCCUUUUCUUUCACUCUACAGAAAACGCAGCCGUCACACUCCCCUUUCCUUUCAAGAGCUCUGCUAGGGUUUGAUCCUACGUCCCUUUCGAGCUAGCCAAACCUCGUUCUCCCGUCACCUCUUGGGUCCAUUUUCGAAGUUGUUGGGUUCGUUGAGUCAGGUGUCGAAGUCGUUUGCUAAACCCUUUCCAGAUGUGAAAACCCCUGGCAGUGGCAAUGAUAGUAGGGAUGCUUCAGCUUGAUGGUUAUGGAUGGGUAUUGGAUCCACCGUGGGGCCCAUCGCGGAAGGAGCUUUAUUAGUUAUGAUGGUUUCGCCUAGAACUACUAUUUUCACUUGUGUUCUUGUUUUGGGCCGUGUGAGACCUCUUUGUAUGUGUAAUGAGUAUGUUUGGUGUUCUGUGUACCUCCAUACUCCAAACUCUAUAGUCUUCGAAUAUUUAUGUAUGUGACGUUUUAUUAA